Molecule: long non-coding RNA, 978 nt
Organism: Gymnogyps californianus (California condor)
Lineage: Eukaryota; Metazoa; Chordata; Aves; Accipitriformes; Cathartidae
Exons: 5
Source: RefSeq, a predicted model, not a curated record
AUUGAGUGUUCAGGGGUGGCAAGAUAGUUUAAUAGUAUGCAUUUUUUUUUUUUAAUUCUUCUAGGUGCCUUGUGUUUUUCUGGAAUUCCUGACUAUUGAAGAUGGAACCUUGUUUUCUUCCCUGGUUUUGUCGUAUACUGUGUGAGCUGCUGAUAUUCUCUCUCUUAACAGGACCGAUGGUGAGAUCGUCUAGCAGGGCUUAGGUUUCCCCGCAGCUGACGGGAGGUACAACAGAGUCACAAGAGACGCGGCGUAAACAGUCUGGGCCUCUGUGUCUCAAUAUGCGGGGCUCAAUGUCAGAUGAGUCUCAUCUCGUAAGGCAUUAGAUGCGGUGGUGUAAGCAUCUCGUGAUGCUCGAUAGAUUUCCCCCCCCAGCCCAGCUUUGCCUGCCGGUGGCUAAGAAGACUCGCCGUAAGGGGCCGGCCCUCUGCCUGGAGGCUCCUGGCUCUGUCUGCAGCGGGUGCCCCGCAGCUAUUCCAGCUUAUGUGUUGCAGGUCAUCCCAGAGGCAGCGCUGAGGACUCGGUUGUGGGUUCCUCCCCGGGGAUGUUGUGGACUGCAUCUGGCUCAGGUUUGGGUGGGUUGCCUUUGGCCUCGUUCUCCGAGCGGCAUGGGCGAAAAGGGACAGCUGGAGCGCUUACUGGCUGUGGACAGGAGCUGCUGGGGCUGAAGCUGGAGAGGCCAGAAAAAGGAAAGCAGCUGAAGAAUAAAAUAAAGGGGAUCCAGCCAGCAGCAGCCUCCAGCUGCAGACAGGAGACAGCCUGCCUCUCCGGGUGAGGAAGCAUCCCUCUCAGUAUAGUCCUCAGCAGAUCUGAUCACCAGUGUGCACUGCAGGGUCUAUAUGUGCAACCAAAAGCACACUACAGCCGUGUAGUGUGUGCUCGUGUGAGGCUAUGUAUCUGGGAAGCCUCAUACUGUAAGAGCUGUAAAGACACCAAUCUAGUCUUUUGGGUGGAUGACAGUCAAGUGACUGGAGCUAG